Molecule: ribosomal RNA, 441 nt
Filed under: uncultured bacterium
Lineage: Bacteria
Description: partial 16S ribosomal RNA
Rfam family: Bacterial small subunit ribosomal RNA
Source: RNAcentral
CCUACGGGUGGCAGCAGUGGGGAAUAUUGGGCAAUGGAGGCAACUCUGACCCAGCAACGCCGCGUGAAGGAUGAAGGUUUUCGGAUUGUAAACUUCUGUCGCGAGGGAUGAAGAAUGAAGGUAUCUCGUAAGAAAGCCACGGCAAAAUACGUGCCAGCAGCCGCGGUAAUACGGAGGGGGCGAGCGUUGUCAGGAAUGCCUGGGCGUAAAGGGAGUGUAGGCGGCAUAUUAAGUGAUGUGUGAAAGCCCGCGGCUCAACCGCGGAAUUGCACAUAAAACUGGUAAGCUGGAGUGCAGUAGAGGUAGGUGGAAUUCCCGGUGUAGCGGUGGAAUGCGUAGAUAUCUGGAGGAACACCAGAGGCGAAGGCGACUUACUGGACUGUAACUGACGCUGAGGCUCGAAAGCGUGGGGAGCAAACAGGAUUAGAUACCCUUGUAGUC